GUUUUUAUUAAUGAUUUUAAUUAUACAUUCUAAAUUUUGCAGUUAGCUAAAUGUGAAGACUCUUUGCUUAAUAAUAAACUUUAUUUUAGAGUUAAUUUUCAUGCAUUUUUAUACUUUUAAUGUCCUGGGGACAGAAAUGUUACCCAUUCGGUAGAAUGUCCCACCGGAAGUGGCGCUGCGACCUGCCGGUUACAUCAUCGACAAUCAUGGCAUUAACAUACAUGGACCAGAUGAAGGUACAGCACGUCGGAGAUUGGCCUCACCUACCACCAUCAAGGAACUCCAACGUCUCCUAGGUUUUGCCAAUUUGUAUCGCAGAUCUCCAAUUUCAGCCAAAUCUGUGCACUUCUAACCUCACUCCUCAAGAAUAAACCUAAGUUUCUACAACUUUUACUUAGGGGCAAAAAUCUGCUUUUACACUUGAAAGAAAUAAAGAUUUGAAAUGUAUUGUGAUAAUUCUCGAUAUACACUGAUAUGAAAACUUUUAUCGUGCUAUUGUUUUGCCCAUAUCGCCCAGCCCUAAUAGAUGUAGCCUAUUUCAGCUUUACCAGACUCGAUCUGGUUAGUUUUGAAAUGUGUGACGUAGGUUAAAAAGCUGCUUUCACUUUCACAUUUUGCCAUUUCAACCCAUAUGCCAGACUUUUUUUUAGCGUUCAAGGUGGUCAAACAUAAAUUUCGCCCUUCAAGAUGUCUAUGAAUAGCAAUAUUUAACAAGACAAACAAGCGAAUAUUUUUCAUCCCUCCACUUCAGAAUUAGCAUAUGAUGCCAUCGAUUAAAUAUUCCAUCGACACACCUUGCAGUGUCAAAGACAUCGCUAACGCAUUCAAGAAAAGUCUUAAGGUUAAGACAAAACUGACAUGGGGUAUCAGCUUGAAAAAUGCGGAAAAGAGAAAGAAGCCCAGUGAUAUUGACCUAGUUUUCUUCCCAGUUGUUUCUCGCACUGGAACUGACAUUGAUGCUGCUGUCAGUAAGAUUACACACAGUAAGCCAGUCAUUUUAGUGGUGCUUCAUCACACAUUUGACCCUGAGGCUGUUGUGUCAAACAGCAGUACACUUGUGAAGAGGGAGAAUACGCUUACAGUGGACUGUCUGUUCUAUGAGGACAAAGGAUUAUUAAAAUGUAAAAGAAAUGAUAAAGCUUGUGAAGAUGCUAUACAGUGGCUGAAAUCAAUGAAAAAAGUGAAGGUGAAGGAACGUAAGUUACUCAGUCAAUUUAUUAUGCUUAAUAAUAUCAUAAGAGCCAUAAUAGAUAACUGUUUUUGUUUUUACACUUAAUUAUCUUCAGGAAAAAGUGGUAAACAAAAAGGAUCCCCUACCAAACCCUGACAAACUUCCAGUUCAAAUUCUGCUCAGAUGCACUGGGAAAAGAAAUGUCAGGGGUCCGGGCCCUGUGUUUCUCCCUCUCACCACCAGAGGUCGCCAUCUCCCUUCCUCUCGGACUCCAUUUCCCAGACUCCACUCACCUGUCACUCUUUACACCCUUAGCUGUUCCCCAUUGUCACAGACUAUAUAUUCUCAUCUCACUCACACACCACUCUGCCUGGCUGAAUUAAUUGUAAUUGUAGUUGUAAUUUCUUGUUGUAGGUUGUGGAUACUAGGCCUGUCGCAAUAAUCAAUAUAUCGACUUAUCGCGCAAUAUAUGUACAUGACCUGAAUAAUUUUUGGUGACGCAAUAUAUCGCCCAUUAUAUUUCCUUAAAAAUUAAUGUCACCAUGUUUUGUACAUUUCACGUGCGCCUGUGUCUUUU
This is a long non-coding RNA of Sinocyclocheilus anshuiensis, 1748 nucleotides long. The record is from Ensembl. Lineage: Eukaryota; Metazoa; Chordata; Actinopteri; Cypriniformes; Cyprinidae.